GACGAACGCUGGCGGCGUGCUUAACACAUGCAAGUCGAACGGAAAGGCCCUGCUUUUGUGGGGUGCUCGAGUUGCGAACGGGUGAGUAACACGUGAGUAACCUGUCCUUGACUUUGGGAUAACUUCAGGAAACUGGGGCUAAUACCGGAUAGGAGCUCCUGCUUCAUGGUGGGGGUUGGAAAGUUUCGGCGGUUGGGGAUGGACUCGCGGCUUAUCAGGUUGGUGGUGGGGUAGUGGCUUACCAAGGCUUUGACCCGUAGCAGGGCUGGGAGGGUGAGCGGCCACGUUGGGACUGGAAUGCGACCCAGACUCCUACGGGAGGCAGCGGUGGGGAAUAUUGCACUAUGGGCGGAAGGCUGAUGUGGCAAAGCCGCGUGCGGGAUGACGGCCUUCGCGUAGUAAACCACUUUCGCCUGUGACGAAGCGUGAGUGACGGUAAUGGGUAAAGAAGCACCGGCUAACUACGUG
RNAcentral lists this ribosomal RNA (468 nucleotides) under uncultured bacterium. RNAcentral's name for it is "partial 16S ribosomal RNA". It matches the Rfam family "Bacterial small subunit ribosomal RNA", at positions 28 to 507 of the family's 1533-position model. The record is from RNAcentral.